This 690-nucleotide ribosomal RNA is filed under the name uncultured bacterium. RNAcentral describes it as "bacterial SSU rRNA". It matches the Rfam family "Bacterial small subunit ribosomal RNA", at positions 1 to 684 of the family's 1533-position model. The record is from RNAcentral.
AGAUUAGAGUUUGAUCAUGGCUCAGAUUGAACGCUGGCGGAAUGCUUUACACAUGCAAGUCGAACGGUAACAGCAGAGCUUGCUCUGGCUGACGAGUGGCGGACGGGUGAGUAAUAUAUCGGAACGUGUCCAAUAAUGGGGGAUAACUAGCCGAAAGGUUGGCUAAUACCGCAUACGCCCUGAGGGGGAAAGCUGGGGAUUCUUCGGAACCUGGCGUUAAUGGAGCGGCCGAUACCUGAUUAGCUAGUUGGUGGGGUAAAAGCCUACCAAGGCAACGAUCAGUAGCUGGUCUGAGAGGACGACCAGCCACACUGGGACUGAGACACGGCCCAGACUCCUACGGGAGGCAGCAGUGGGGAAUUUUGGACAAUGGGGGCAACCCUGAUCCAGCCAUUCCGCGUGAGUGAAGAAGGCCUUCGGGUUGUAAAGCUCUUUCGCAAGGGAAGAAACGAUAUGGGUUAAUAGCCUAUGUUAAUGACGGUACCUUGACAAGAAGCACCGGCUAACUACGUGCCAGCAGCCGCGGUAAUACGUAGGGUGCAAGCGUUAAUCGGAAUUACUGGGCGUAAAGCGUGCGCAGGCUGUUUUGUAAGUCAGAUGUGAAAUCCCCGAGCUCAACUUGGGAACUGCGUUUGAAACUACAAGACUAGAAUAGGUCAGAGGGGGGUAGAAUUCCACGUGUAGCAGUGA